RNAcentral lists this ribosomal RNA (468 nucleotides) under uncultured bacterium. RNAcentral's name for it is "partial 16S ribosomal RNA". It matches the Rfam family "Bacterial small subunit ribosomal RNA", at positions 28 to 507 of the family's 1533-position model. The record is from RNAcentral.
GACGAACGCUGGCGGCGUGCUUAACACAUGCAAGUCGAACGGAAAGGCCCUGCUUUUGUGGGGUGCUCGAGUGGCGAACGGGUGAGUAACACGUGAGUAACCUGCCCUUGACUUUGGGAUAACUUCAGGAAACUGGGGCGAAUACCGGAUAGGAGCUCCUGCUGCAUGGUGGGGGUUGGAAAGUUUCGGCGGUUGGGGAUGGACUCGCGGCUUAUCAGCUUGUUGGUGGGGUAGUGGCUUACCAAGGGUUUGACGGGUAGCCGGCCUGAGAGGGUGACCGGCCACAAUGGGACUGAGAUACGGCCCAGACUCCUACGGGAGGCAGCAGUGGGGAAUAUUGCACAAUGGGCGGAAGCCUGAUGCAGCAACGCCGCGUGCGGGAUGACGGCUUUCGGGGUGUAAACCGCUUUCGCCUGUGACGAAGCGUGAGUGACGGUAAUGGGUAAAGAAGCACCGGCUAACUACGUG